GCAGACACAUUCCAGCCAAUCAGCAGCAGACCCUCCCUCCCAGACCCUCCCACCUCCUGGACAGCUCACUAAGAAUGCAGCUUCACUUAUGGAUGCUGUCCAGGAUGUGGGAGGGUCUGGGAGGGAGGGUCUGCUGCUGAUUGGCUGGAAUGUGUCUG
Molecule: microRNA precursor, 158 nt
Filed under: Pelobates cultripes (western spadefoot toad)
Lineage: Eukaryota; Metazoa; Chordata; Amphibia; Anura; Pelobatidae
Source: RNAcentral